Molecule: long non-coding RNA, 737 nt
Filed under: Monodelphis domestica (gray short-tailed opossum)
Lineage: Eukaryota; Metazoa; Chordata; Mammalia; Didelphimorphia; Didelphidae
Description: lncRNA (ENSMODG00000036346.2)
Source: RNAcentral
GUUCAAUUUAAUUCAGCUUUGGAAGCUGAAUUGGAGGUCCGGAAUCAGAGGAGCCUGCUAGGUCUCUGAACACUAGAGUUUUGCUUGGGAAGAUCUUGUGAUGAUGAAACAGACCCAAAAGAGGUUAAGCCAUUCAUCUAAGAUCACACAAGUAGUAAAUGACAGAGCUAUUUCCCAGCCUUACUGAAUGAUGGUGACUAUAGGAGUAGUAAAUAAGAUCAAGAGCUUGAAGACACCUUACAGACCUUCUUGUCCAUCCCAUUUUCUUAACAAAUGAGGCAGCGAAACCCCAAAGUGACUGAGCCCUUCUUGAAGGCAGAAACCAUGUCUUUCAACUUAUCACAGGGCAUCUGGCUCAUCAUCAUACUCCUGAGUGCCUGGAAAAUAACAACCCAGAUUUUCAAAUAAAAUGAGCUUUGUCUCUGCCUGGCACCCACAUAUUCUUCCAUAUCAAGAGGCUGCAGCAUCCAAUAAUCAGGAAAACCUGAGUAAAUUUUUUGGCCUUCCCUUUGUACCAAGAGAAAAAGUUUGAAUAUUUUAUUUUAUGGGGUGUUCACAGUACCUUAUUUUAAAAUUAUACACAACAGCACAUAUGUCAUGUGCAUUUGUAAAUUACUAAACUUUUAAAGCUAUAUCAACAUUUCUAGCCUUUGUAUGUCAUCUGAUGACUUUCAUGUUCUUUUUGUAAACUUGUUUUUACUUAUUUUAACUUUAAAAAGAAACUGUAUGUUUAUGCU